RNAcentral lists this long non-coding RNA (374 nucleotides) under Brachypodium distachyon (stiff brome). RNAcentral describes it as "long non-coding RNA (BDIS_LNC003249)". Lineage: Eukaryota; Viridiplantae; Streptophyta; Magnoliopsida; Poales; Poaceae. The record is from RNAcentral.
GUUGUGGCAGACCGAAGGGCAAGGGAGGGGUGCGCGACGAAGGGCGAGGUAGGCGAAGACGGUGGCGUACGGGCUGCGCGGCGGGGGACGGCAUGCAAGCGGCGGCGGACGUCUCACGGGACGACCUAGAUUUUUCGUGCCGGGAUGGAAAAGGAAGAACAACACGGGUGGGGACAAGAUAGGCGGUAGGUGAAGGGCCCUCGCAUUCGCGCUACAGUAUCGGCGCGAUGUGGCUCUCGCGGUUGGCCUCCCAGAACAGAGAAGAAGCACAGAAUACCAACCGAGCAACCGUUAGAGUCGAGGAAAUAACAAGUUUGCCACCGCGCGGCUCCAGCUCUGACGCCCGCUACAUGCUGACUCCGAAGCACACACGC